AGUGGAUGGGGAGCAACCUAGUUGUGCGUGUGUAAAGGUAGUGCCAAGAAAAGCGAUGAUCAUGUUGAAAAUCAAUUCCCGGUACCCGAAACCGACACAGGUGGGCAAGUAGAGAAUACUAAGGGGCGCGAGGUAACUCUCUCCAAGGAACUCGGCAAAAUGACCCCGUAACUUAGGGAGAAGGGGUGCCACCGAGAGGUGGUCGCAGUGAAGAGGCCCAGGCGACUGUUUAGCAAAAACAUAGGUCUCUGCAAACUCGAAAGAGGAGGUAUAGGGGCUGACGCCUGCCCAGUGCCGGAAGGUUAAAGAAGUUGGUCAGUUUUAGGAUGAAGCUAGCGACUGAAGCCCCGGUGAACGGCGGCCGUAACUAUAACGGUCCUAAGGUAGCGAAAUUCCUUGUCGGGUAAGUUCCGACCCGCACGAAAGGCGUAACGAUCUGGGCGCUGUCUCGGAGAGAGGCUCGGCGAAAUAGGAUUGUCUGUGAAGAUACGGACUACCUGCAUUUGGACAGAAAGACCCUAUGAAGCUUUACUAUAGCUUGGAAUUGUGUUCGGGCUUCCUGUGCGCAGGAUAGGUGGGAGGCGUAGAAGGUAUUCUUGUGGGGAUACUGGAGCCAACGGUGAGAUACCACUCUCAGGAGGCUAGAAUUCUAACUUAAUUAAGGACAGUUUCAGGUGGGUAGUUUGACUGGGGCGGUCGCCUCCAAAAGGUAACGGAGGCGUACAAAGGUUCCCUCAGACUGGUUGGAAAUCAGUCGAAGAGUGCAAAGGCAGAAGGGAGCUUGACUGCGAGAAGUACAGUUCGAGCAGGGUGGAAACACGGUCUUAGUGAUCCGACGGUGCUGUGUGGAAGGGCCGUCGCUCAACGGAUAAAAGUUACUCUAGGAUAACAGGCUGAUCUCCCCCAAGAGUUCACAUCGACGGGGAGGUUUGGCACCUCGAUGUCGGCUCAUCGCAACCUGGGGCGGAAGUACGUCCCAAGGGUUGGGCUGUUCGCCCAUUAAAGCGGUACGUGAGCUGGGUUCAGAACGUCGUGAGACAGUUCGGUCCAUAUCCGAUGUAGGCGUGAGAAUAUUGAGAGGAGCCUUCCUUAGUACGAGAGGACCGGGAAGGACGCACCGCUGGUGUACCUGUUAUGAUGCCAAUUGUAAACGCAGGGUAGCCAAGUGCGGAGAGGAUAACCGCUGAAAGCAUCUAAGUGGGAAGCCCACCUCAAGAUGAGUAUUCUGGUGUAAGGUCACGGGAAGACGACCCGUAAAUAGGCACGAGGUGGAAGUGCAGAGAUGUAUGAAGCCGAAGUGUACUAAUAGACCGUCGGCUUGACC
RNAcentral lists this ribosomal RNA (1324 nucleotides) under metagenome. Its description in RNAcentral is "bacterial LSU rRNA". It matches the Rfam family "Bacterial large subunit ribosomal RNA", at positions 1561 to 2925 of the family's 2925-position model. The record is from RNAcentral.